AGUGAACGCUGGCGGUAGGCCUAACACAUGCAAGUCGAACGGCAGCACAGUAAGAGCUUGCUCUUACGGGUGGCGAGUGGCGGACGGGUGAGGAAUACAUCGGAAUCUACUUUUUCGUGGGGGAUAACGUAGGGAAACUUACGCUAAUACCGCAUACGACCUACGGGUGAAAGCAGGGGAUCUUCGGACCUUGCGCGAUUGAAUGAGCCGAUGUCGGAUUAGCUAGUUGGCGGGGUAAAGGCCCACCAAGGCGACGCUCCGUAGCUGGUCUGAGAGGAUGAUCAGCCACACUGGAACUGAGACACGGUCCAGACUCCUACGGGAGGCAGCAGUGGGGAAUAUUGGACAAUGGGCGCAAGCCUGAUGCAGCCAUACCGCGUGGGUGAAGAAGGCCUUCGGGUUGUAAAGCCCUUUUGUUGGGAAAGAAAAGCAGCAGGUUAAUACCCCGCUGUUCUGACGGUACCCAAAGAAUAAGCACCGGCUAACUUCGUG
Molecule: ribosomal RNA, 492 nt
Filed under: uncultured bacterium
Lineage: Bacteria
Description: partial 16S ribosomal RNA
Rfam family: Bacterial small subunit ribosomal RNA
Source: RNAcentral